UGAGUUGGGUAUCCACUCUUGCAAUGAACAAAUGUGAGAAUGGUAACCAAUACA
This 54-nucleotide microRNA precursor is filed under the name Ciona intestinalis (vase tunicate). Its description in RNAcentral is "microRNA cin-mir-4003d precursor". The record is from miRBase by way of RNAcentral. Lineage: Eukaryota; Metazoa; Chordata; Ascidiacea; Phlebobranchia; Cionidae.